AGGCAUUGAAACCACUCACACAAAGAUUCAGUUUGAAACUUGUUUUAAGGAACCCCUGCCUCCUUACAUCUGGAUAUGCAGGACCACCAGCAAUGCUCUGCCCCCCAUCCUUCAACGACUUCCAGCUCUUCGAGUUGUUUCUUCUGGAAUGACUUCCAUAUUUCUCAGCGGCGCAGUGGUAAAGAAUCUGCAGGCCUAGGCAGGAGGCACAAGAGAGGAGGGGUCGAUCCCUGGGUUGGGAAAAUGCCCUGGAGGAAGAAAUGGCAACCUACUCCAGUAUUCUUGCUGGGACAGUCCCAUGAACAGAGGAGCCUGGC
Molecule: long non-coding RNA, 317 nt
Organism: Bos taurus (domestic cattle)
Lineage: Eukaryota; Metazoa; Chordata; Mammalia; Artiodactyla; Bovidae
Source: Ensembl